This 460-nucleotide ribosomal RNA is filed under the name uncultured bacterium. Its description in RNAcentral is "partial 16S ribosomal RNA". It matches the Rfam family "Bacterial small subunit ribosomal RNA", at positions 338 to 795 of the family's 1533-position model. The record is from RNAcentral.
CCUACGGGAGGCAGCAGUGAGGAAUAUUGGUCAAUGGACGAGAGUCUGAACCAGCCAAGUAGCGUGAAGGAUGACUACCCUAUGGGUUGUAAACUUCUUUUAUAUGGGAAUAAAAUGUUCCACGUGUGGGAUUUUGUAUGUACCAUAUGAAUAAGGAUAGGCUAACUACGUGCCAGCAGCCGCGGUAAUACGGAGGAUCCGAGCGUUAUCCGGAUUGAUUGGGUUUAAAGGGAGCGUAGGUGGAUUGUUAAGUCAGUUGUGAAAGUUUGCGGCUCAACCGUAAAAUUGCAGUUGAAACUGGCAGUCUGGAGUACAGUAGAGGUGGGCGGAAUUCGUGGUGUAGCGGUGAAAUGCGUAGAUAUCACGAAGAACACCGAUUGCGAAGGCAGUUCACUGGACUGCAACUGACGCUCAGGCACGAAAGCGUGGGUAUCGAACAGGAUUAGAUACCCUAGUAGUC